RNAcentral lists this long non-coding RNA (263 nucleotides) under Lathyrus oleraceus (garden pea). RNAcentral's name for it is "Pisum sativum (pea) long non-coding RNA (PSAT_LNC026077)". The record is from RNAcentral. Lineage: Eukaryota; Viridiplantae; Streptophyta; Magnoliopsida; Fabales; Fabaceae.
GUGGUCAUCAAUAGGUUGCCAGGUAACUCUUCCCUUAUCUUAUUUCGAAACAUUGGGGACAAUGUUCGAUUUAAGUGUGGGAGGAGCAUUUCUCGUUUUCCAUUUAUUUUAAGUUUUAUUUGUUGUUUUUAGAUUAUUUAUUUCCUUUUAGUUGUUUAAUUCCCCUCUUAGUUGUUUAAUUUCCUUUUUAGUAUAAUGCAUGAGUUUGACGAGUCACCGAAUACAGUAAAUCUUUAGUACAAUCUAGUCUCCCCAUACCUUUA